CCGGAUUCAUUGGGUUUAAAGGGUGCGUAGGCGGACUAUUAAGUCAGUGGUGAAAUCCUGCAGCUUAACUGCAGAACUGCCAUUGAUACUGAUAGCCUUGAGUUUGGUUAAGGUAGGCGGAAUGUGUAAUGUAGCGGUGAAAUGCUUAGAUAUUACACAGAACACCAAUUGCGUAGGCAGCUUACUGAGCCGACACUGACGCUGAGGCACGAAAGCGUGGGGAUCGAACAGGAUUAGAUACCCUGGUAGUCCACGCCGUAAACGAUGAUUACUCGCUGUUGGCGAUACACUGUCAGCGGCUAAGCAAAAGCAAUAAGUAAUCCACCUGGGGAGUACGGCCGCAAGGUUGAAACUCAAAGGAAUUGACGGGGGCCCGCACAAGCGGAGGAACAUGUGGUUUAAUUCGAUGAUACGCGAGGAACCUUACCUGGGCUUAAAUGUAGAGUGCAUUUUCUAGAGAUAGGAAUUCCCUUCGGGGCUUUCUGCAAGGUGCUGCAUGGUUGUCGUCAGCUCGUGCCGUGAGGUGUCGGGUUAAGUCCCAUAACGAGCGCAACCCUUAUCGUUAGUUGCCAUCUGGUAAAGCAGGGACUCUAGCGAAACUGCCACCGUAAGGUGAGAGGAAGUGGGGGAUGACGUCAAAUCAGCACGGCCCUUAUGUCCAGGGCUACACACGUGUUACAAUGGUCGGUACAGAGGGCAGCUACCUGGUGACAGGAUGCUAAUCUCGAAACCGGUCUCAGUUCGGAUCGAAGUCUGCACUCGACUUCGUGAAGCUGGAUUCGCUAGUAAUCGCGCAUCAGC
RNAcentral lists this ribosomal RNA (801 nucleotides) under uncultured bacterium. RNAcentral's name for it is "bacterial SSU rRNA". It matches the Rfam family "Bacterial small subunit ribosomal RNA", at positions 545 to 1353 of the family's 1533-position model. The record is from RNAcentral.